GCCUAUGGCAAUAUCGUCCUGAACAUGCCUGAAGCUAAGCAGGAUGGGGCCUGGUUAGUACUUGGAUGGGAGACCGCCUGGGAAUACCAGGUGCUGUAGGCU
This 102-nucleotide ribosomal RNA is filed under the name Salvator merianae (Argentine black and white tegu). The record is from RNAcentral. Lineage: Eukaryota; Metazoa; Chordata; Lepidosauria; Squamata; Teiidae.